Molecule: transfer RNA, 72 nt
Filed under: Camelus bactrianus (Bactrian camel)
Lineage: Eukaryota; Metazoa; Chordata; Mammalia; Artiodactyla; Camelidae
Also listed under: 2 other names
Rfam family: tRNA
About the family: Transfer RNA (tRNA) molecules are approximately 80 nucleotides in length.
Source: Rfam by way of RNAcentral
GAGGGUAUGGCAAAGUGGUAGAGCACAUGAUUAGCAUACACAAGGUCCUGGGUUCAAUCCCCAGUAUCUCCU